This 347-nucleotide unclassified non-coding RNA is filed under the name soil metagenome. RNAcentral's name for it is "partial contains 5.8S ribosomal RNA, internal transcribed spacer 2, and large subunit ribosomal RNA". The stretch from base 1 to 120 matches the Rfam family "5.8S ribosomal RNA", at positions 35 to 154 of the family's 154-position model. The record is from RNAcentral.
GAUGAAGAACGUAGCGAAAUGCGAUAAAUAAUGUGAAUUGCAGAAUUCAGUGAAUCAUCGAGUCUUUGAACGCACAUUGCGCCCCCUGGUAUUCCGGGGGGCAUGCCUGUCCGAGCGUCAUUGCUGCCCUCAAGCACGGCUUGUGUGUUGGGCCCCCGUCCCCCCCUCCCGGGGGACGGGCCCGAAAGGCAGCGGCGGCACCGCGUCCGGUCCUCGAGCGUAUGGGGCUUUGUCACCCGCUCUGUAAGCCCGGCCGGCGCCUGCCGACCACCAUCAAUCUUUUUUCAGGUUGACCUCGGAUCAGGUAGGGAUACCCGCUGAACUUAAGCAUAUCAAUAAGCGGAGGA